GGUUAAGUGACUAAGCGUACACGGUGGAUGCCCUGGCAGUCAGAGGCGAUGAAGGACGUGCUAAUCUGCGAAAAGCGUCGGUAAGGUGAUAUGAACCGUUAUAACCGGCGAUGUCCGAAUGGGGAAACCCAGUGCAAUUCGUUGCACUAUCGUUAACUGAAUACAUAGGUUAACGAGGCGAACCGGGGGAACUGAAACAUCUAAGUACCCCGAGGAAAAGAAAUCAACCGAGAUUCCCCCAGUAGCGGCGAGCGAACGGGGAGCAGCCCAGAGUCUGAAUCAGCUUGUGUGUUAGUGGAACGGUCUGGAAAGUCCGACGGUACAGGGUGAUAGUCCCGUACACCAAAAUGCACAGGCUGUGAACUCGAAGAGUAGGGCGGGACACGUGGUAUCCUGUCUGAAUAUGGGGGGACCAUCCUCCAAGGCUAAAUACUCCUGACUGACCGAUAGUGAACCAGUACCGUGAGGGAAAGGCGAAAAGAACCCCGGCGAGGGGAGUGAAAAAGAACCUGAAACCGUGUACGUACAAGCAGUGGGAGCACCUUAGGGUGUGACUGCGUACCUUUUGUAUAAUGGGUCAGCGACUUAUAUUCUGUAGCAAGGUUAACCGUAUAGGGGAGCCGCAGGGAAACCGAGUCUUAACUGGGCGUUAAGUUGCAGGGUAUAGACCCGAAACCCGGUGAUCUAGCCAUGGGCAGGUUGAAGGUUGGGUAACACUAACUGGAGGACCGAACCGACUAAUGUUGAAAAAUUAGCGGAUGACUUGUGGCUGGGGGUGAAAGGCCAAUCAAACCGGGAGAUAGCUGGUUCUCCCCGAAAGCUAUUUAGGUAGCGCCUCGUGAACUCAUCUUCGGGGGUAGAGCACUGUUUCGGCUAGGGGGUCAUCCCGACUUACCAACCCGAUGCAAACUACGAAUACCGAAGAAUGUUAUCACGGGAGACACACGGCGGGUGCUAACGUCCGUCGUGAAGAGGGAAACAACCCAGACCGCCAGCUAAGGUCCCAAAGUCAUGGUUAAGUGGGAAACGAUGUGGGAAGGCACAGACAGCCAGGAUGUUGGCUUAGAAGCAGCCAUCAUUUAAAGAAAGCGUAAUAGCUCACUGGUCGAGUCGGCCUGCGCGGAAGAUGUAACGGGGCUAAACCAUGCACCGAAGCUGCGGCAGCGACACUAUGUGUUGUUGGGUAGGGGAGCGUUCUGUAAGCCUGCGAAGGUGACCUGUGAGGGUUGCUGGAGGUAUCAGAAGUGCGAAUGCUGACAUAAGUAACGAUAAAGCGGGUGAAAAGCCCGCUCGCCGGAAGACCAAGGGUUCCUGUCCAACGUUAAUCGGGGCAGGGUGAGUCGACCCCUAAGGCGAGGCCGAAAGGCGUAGUCGAUGGGAAACAGGUUAAUAUUCCUGUACUUGGUGUUACUGCGAAGGGGGGACGGAGAAGGCUAUGUUAGCCGGGCGACGGUUGUCCCGGUUUAAGCAUGUAGGCUGAUUGUCCAGGCAAAUCCGGAUAAUCAAGGCUGAGGUGUGAUGACGAGGCACUACGGUGCUGAAGUAACAAAUGCCCUGCUUCCAGGAAAAGCCUCUAAGCAUCAGGUAACAUUAAAUCGUACCCCAAACCGACACAGGUGGUCAGGUAGAGAAUACCAAGGCGCUUGAGAGAACUCGGGUGAAGGAACUAGGCAAAAUGGUGCCGUAACUUCGGGAGAAGGCACGCUGGUGUGUAGGUGAAGUCCCUGCGGAUGGAGCUGAGACCAGUCGAAGAUACCAGCUGGCUGCAACUGUUUAUUAAAAACACAGCACUGUGCAAACACGAAAGUGGACGUAUACGGUGUGACGCCUGCCCGGUGCCGGAAGGUUAAUUGAUGGGGUUAUCCGUAAGGAGAAGCUCUUGAUCGAAGCCCCGGUAAACGGCGGCCGUAACUAUAACGGUCCUAAGGUAGCGAAAUUCCUUGUCGGGUAAGUUCCGACCUGCACGAAUGGCGUAAUGAUGGCCAGGCUGUCUCCACCCGAGACUCAGUGAAAUUGAACUCGCUGUGAAGAUGCAGUGUACCCGCGGCAAGACGGAAAGACCCCGUGAACCUUUACUAUAGCUUGACACUGAACAUUGAGCCUUGAUGUGUAGGAUAGGUGGGAGGCUUUGAAGCGUGGACGCCAGUCUGCGUGGAGCCAACCUUGAAAUACCACCCUUUAAUGUUUGAUGUUCUAACGUUGGCCCCUGACCGGGGUUGCGGACAGUGUCUGGUGGGUAGUUUGACUGGGGCGGUCUCCUCCCAAAGCGUAACGGAGGAGCACGAAGGUUAGCUAAUCCUGGUCGGACAUCAGGAGGUUAGUGCAAUGGCAUAAGCUAGCUUGACUGCGAGCGUGACGGCGCGAGCAGGUGCGAAAGCAGGUCAUAGUGAUCCGGUGGUUCUGAAUGGAAGGGCCAUCGCUCAACGGAUAAAAGGUACUCCGGGGAUAACAGGCUGAUACCGCCCAAGAGUUCAUAUCGACGGCGGUGUUUGGCACCUCGAUGUCGGCUCAUCACAUCCUGGGGCUGAAGUAGGUCCCAAGGGUAUGGCUGUUCGCCAUUUAAAGUGGUACGCGAGCUGGGUUUAGAACGUCGUGAGACAGUUCGGUCCCUAUCUGCCGUGGGCGCUGGAGAAUUGAGGGGGGCUGCUCCUAGUACGAGAGGACCGGAGUGGACGCAUCACUGGUGUUCGGGUUGUCAUGCCAAUGGCACUGCCCGGUAGCUAAAUGCGGAAGAGAUAAGUGCUGAAAGCAUCUAAGCACGAAACUUGCCCCGAGAUGAGUUCUCCCUGAGACUUUAAGUCUCCUGAAGGAACGUUAAAGACGAUGACGUUGAUAGGCCGGGUGUGUAAGCGCAGCGAUGCGUUGAGCUAACCGGUACUAAUGAACCGUGAGGCUUAACCUU
RNAcentral lists this ribosomal RNA (2902 nucleotides) under Klebsiella pneumoniae. RNAcentral's name for it is "23S ribosomal RNA". It matches the Rfam family "Bacterial large subunit ribosomal RNA". The record is from RNAcentral. Lineage: Bacteria; Pseudomonadati; Pseudomonadota; Gammaproteobacteria; Enterobacterales; Enterobacteriaceae.